UACGUAGGGAGCGAGCGUUGUCCGGAAUUACUGGGUGUAAAGGGUGCGUAGGCGGGGCUGCAAGUUGGAUGUGAAAUACCGGGGCUUAACCCCGGGGCUGCAUCCAAAACUGUAGCUCUUGAGUGAAGUAGAGGCAGGCGGAAUUCCGAGAGUAGCGGUGAAAUGCGUAGAUAUUCGGAGGAACACCAGUGGCGAAGGCGGCCUGCUGGGCUUUUACUGACGCUGAGGCACGAAAGCAUGGGGAGCAAACAGG
RNAcentral lists this ribosomal RNA (253 nucleotides) under uncultured bacterium. RNAcentral's name for it is "partial 16S ribosomal RNA". It matches the Rfam family "Bacterial small subunit ribosomal RNA", at positions 524 to 776 of the family's 1533-position model. The record is from RNAcentral.